CUAAUUUCACCUUGCUACAUGUUCAACAUGAUUCUUGAUUUUAAGGUUAUGUUAAGUUCAAUGGAAAGCUGAUGUUCGAUACUGUUGAUUCUCAUUAAAACUCCAAGCAACUGAAUCAUAUCAUACUAGUGCUAUUUGUUGUACAAUUUGUUUUCUACUGUUUUUCUCAUUUGAUUGCACAACAUUGCAGCUUGAACGAAUCUUCUCCUGCGAAGUCCAUUGUCAAUACAUCAAACUUAGAAUACCAAAUGACAGUCAGGUUAGCAUCUCAUCAAUUUCGAUCUUUCAUCUUCUUUCUAUACCAUGUGUCUGUCUAACUUCAUUAGAUUUAUUAUAUGGUGACUAAUGUCUAAUGUUAGCAUAAUUCUUUUUCUUUUUUAUUCCUUUUCCUCUCCUAAUUUCAUAUAUUGUCUGCAGGAUCAAUUUUCAAGCAAGUAUCAAAAGUUCAUGGAAAAAAUUGACGAAUUUGUGAGUCAUUUUUCCUCAACAUAUCAGGCUUUUCUUCCAGAUAUUGUUAUUGUUUCUGCUUAUGUUCUAAUCUUUCACUGUAUGAUGGAUGUGUAUGCAGGAACUACCUGAGAAGCUUUCCUGCUUUAUUAUUUUUGGUGUAAGAGUUAAUAUUAUUAUUAAUUUUUGUUGUUGCUCCUAAUAUUUUUGUGAUUUAAACCUUAUUUCCGGUCUUUGAUUUCUAAUUUUGCUUCUUAAAUGAAUAGGAAUGAUCUAUUUUCGUUUAUUCUGAUAAACUGUGGUCAACAUAUAAAAUGAAGAAUCUUGUGAAUUGGUGUCUUCUUGGUGAGGAACCUUUUGAACAAGAUAAUUUUUAUGAAUUGUCACUUGAUGAUGAUGAUGAUUAAAGCACUGAUUCGGUGAAGAUUACACCAAAAGAUUAGAUUAUGUGUUUACGCCGCUCUAGUUUGCUGCUUUCUCUAUUUGGGUAGAAAACAUUUUCCCGAUUCUAGUAUGAGCGAGUCAAUGCGGUUUCUUUCUCUCAUUCCAUGUUAAUUUUUAGUCUGUUCCCUGUAGCACUAACUACUGCCAAUUCUAUGUCUUUUGCCCAUUUUCCCCUCUUGCUGCCCGUAUUUGAACUGCAUUUUAAGAACUCUGAAAGCCCAUCUCUAUUAUGUUGCUUUCUUGACCUAAUAAAAGCAGGUCUCAUUUAAACUACGCUUUGCAUCAUCUAAAGUGUAAAGCCACACUUCCGUACACCAAGCACCUCAUUUGGACUGUGAUUUUCCCACAAUUUGUGUUCCAUGUUAAAUAAUAAAUACUAUCAAGUUAUCAUCUAAGACAAGAGACAUCCAAAAAAAAAACUAAGACAAGAGACACUACAUGAGGUCGGGUACAGUGUUCUUCACCAACUACACAAACUAUAUCAUUCCAUUUCCUUUCUUCUUACCUGUCCAUUGUCAAGAACAAACAUAUACUCGGACACAGAUGGGGAGGAGACGGCAUUGGCAAAAUGAUGAACAGAGCUGCCAGAGCAUACCUUUUUGCUUUCCUUGCUUAAGCUUGACGCUCUUCUUCACGAUGAACUUCUUAGAACCUUUCUUCCUCCCUUGAGAUUCUACUGCAACCAUAAACACACUCGUAUCAGCUCCAUCAAAUUAAAAAUAAAACCAUACAAAGUAGCACUUGGUUAUAUUGCUAAACCCGGUAGUAAAUUGUAUACUACUAACACUAGGAUACACCCAACUUUUAUCGUUCUCAUAAACACCAAAUUUGCGUCUACUCGUUUAAUAAAUCACCGAAACAAGUUGACGGGAUAGAAUGAGAAAGCGUUGAUUAGUCUCUGCUAAGUAAGAAGUAUGAAUAUUACACAAAGCGCGAGAAACAGUAGCAUUACUAGCAUACCAUUAUCGGCAGCAGCCAUUCAUGCAGUACUAGGUGCAGUAGCAUAUUCAUACCAUUAGUCAUAACAGAAAAGAUGCACAAGUGACAUGUUUGAGUCGUUUGACUGAGCUUGUAGAACAACUUGUAAUUUAAAGCAUUGAUGCUAGAGUUUACUGUACCAGGUGCAUAAGGAAUAGCACAGGCAACUCCAUUUGAACUAAAUCCAGUGAGAGGCACACUAGUCUGAACUCUGGAGUGGAUUCAAAAUAGCGCGCCGACAUUAUUUAUAACCAUUGCAUUCAAAGAUGAGAAGAGACUCCCAUUCAAACUCAGCAGAUAAAAACAAUUAUAGUCUCACUUCUUACAUACCAUACUAAUAAUACCAUAUUUCCCUCUGAUAAUAUUUUCCUGGCGUGAGCAUAUUCACUAGCUAGGAAGGCCAGCUAAAACCAAAAUAUUGAUACCCUGAUCUGAUAUACUAACACCAACAACAGCUAAUUGAUUUCUGACAUUUAUAAACCGCAACACAGACUUGUUAUAGAAUCUGAGGAUUCUGAUCCUUUUUGUAUACUUUGCAAAGCAGACUUCAAUCCCAUAAAUUUGAAAAUCAAAAUUUGGUGCAUACUGUUGUUUGAGAGUGGUCCAUACAUCCUUGGAAGAUAAUCACACUCAAUUGCCAAUAUAAGAGCAGUGUUGGUAAGAGUUGUUGAUGAGAGAGCCAUCAUCACCAUCAAGGAAUUGGGGUGGACAGAGAUGAAAAACUUCAUUAAGCCAACGAGGAAGAACAACUAAAUUGAUAUUCUCUGUUAAUUUUACAAAGGGAAGAGAGUCCUCUUUAUAUGCUGACUUUACUAUAAUCUCUGUUGACUUUGACAUAUUCUGUUAACAAUGGGACACAUUAACUAAUACCUUCGGAUUCAUGUAUUGAAGAUGUGCCGGUGAUGCUCUGCUUGUACAUGUCUACUUUCUGUAAACAUUUUGUCUUCUUUGUUGUCUCCUCUCUCUCUUCUCCUUCUCGGGUUUUCUUGGGUCUUUUGUUGAAAUUAAGAAGACUAGGCAGCCCACACACAUCUGUCCUUUGAAUCAAAGUCAUCUCUGUUUCAGGCGGUGUAUCUAUAUCAGUGAUCUUUAAAAUCGAUUUUUUGUAACACCCGUAGCAAUUUUACAAACAGGCUCUUCCUUCAAAUAUGGUCCUAAAAAUUCUUUUAUUGUGUUCACCACGUCAACCUGGAGCUUAUCAUACCCUCCGUCUAUUUGAGAUAAUCGUUUACAAGUUUUAGACGUAGGAUCAUAAACUUGUUGAAAUGUGAACGCUAGAAUAGCCCUGUCAAAGUGUUCUAGAAUAUCCGUUUUCGAAGUUGUAUCUCGGGUUUUCCCCUUCCCAUUUGUAAUCUUCAGCUUCUCGUACCUAAUUACAUCUUUGUAACUUCCAUGAUUCCGUAUUAGUUUGGGAGCUUUUUCAAUGCCUAUGCCAGCCCCAUUCGGAUAUAAUCACAACCGAUUAUUAUACACAUUUCCGAAAGCAUCCUUGCUAUAUGCAUGUUUUUCCAACUAGAAAGUGAACUGGGAUGAUGAUAGUUCUUUCAUUCUCACAAAUAGACUCACCUAUCACAUUGUCUUUGAUACUAUGAGAGUUUAGUUUGAGAGCAUACGUACAAUUUUAUUAUUAGUUGAAUCUUCUUUAAUUUCUUCUAGUAUCUCAUAUAUUUAAUCAAAGUAGCAUUAUAAGGAUAUACAAGAACUAAUGCAGAAAUGAGGGGCAGAGGUGUACAUAUGGGCUGGUAUCAUCAGAUGAAAAUGAAUGAUGUUCAUCAUACAUAUUGGGUAGAUUUAGGAAUGCAAUAUGAAUAUAAAGAUUUCAUGCACAAUGUUGGCGUUUUUCCAUUCCAUCACACUAUUCUUCGAUUCCCAUAUCACAUGUACAUCAAUCAAUCUUAAAUUCUCAUGAUCACAUGAUGCAGGGAGCGUGGCAUUGGAAUAGUUCCAUAUAGUCCUCUUGGUCGUGGUUUCUUCGCAGGCAAAGCAGUUGUCGAAAGUUUGGAUCCAAAUGUUCAUGGGGUACAAAUCGUUUUCUCCCUUACACUGAUAUCUUCUCAAAUUCUAUGACAAACUUAGAACACGUACACGUAUAGAGCAUGAUAUAGGGUAUAGUAGGUGUGAUUUUAACAUUCUGCCGUUUUGUAUUUUUUUGGAUGACCAUCUCUCCGGUACGUUCCUCGAUUCCCUGCUCAUCUUUGCUUUUGAUUGAAAUCAAUGUCGAAUGCGUAGUCGAUUUUAGGGUUUAGGGUUUAGGGUUUGGGGUAUAGUAGGUGUGAUUUUAACGUUCUGCACUGACUGAAGUAGUUCCUGCUACCUUGUAUAUAUGAUGGAAUAAUUCUUAUGCCCUUUGGAAUUGUAGCACGCACAGUUCACUGUUUAAUUUACAGAUAACUGCGUCCUGUGACUUUGAUCGAGUCAUUAUGGGAAUUGUAUUACUUGAACUGACUUGUUUUGUUUCCGGUUUUGGUUUUGUACCACUUGUACGUAUGUCUUUUGAAUAACAAUAAUGAAUGAAUGCAUAUUUCUCAUAUAUAUAGUUGAAAUUCAUUUGUGCAGAAGAAGAGGAUCUAUGCCAAGUCUGGGAAACAAAGGUGGAACCACUCUUUAAACGUUAUCGCCUUAAAUGCCAAUUGAAUUGGGAUGAGCGUAAGAUGACUGUGGGUACAAAAACAGCCAUCCUCGAGGACUGUGGGAUCCUUAACAGGGGUUCUAACUCGUGGUUUCAGCACUGAAUGUGUACGUACGCAUCUCACAUCCUUUCUCUAAUUUCACCUUGCUACAUGUUCAAUAUGAUUCUUGAGUUUAAGGUUAUGUCAAGUUCAAUGAAAAGCUGAUGUUCAAUACUGUUGAUUCUCAUCAAAACUCCAAGCAACUGAAUCAUAUCAUACUUGUUCUUUUUGUUGAAGGUACAAUUUGUUUUCUACUAUUUUUCUCAUUUGAGUGCACAACAUUGCAGCUUGAGCGAAUCUUCUCCUGUGAAGUCCAUUGUCAAUACAUGAAUCUUUCGAAUACCACAUAAGAUGAGUCAGGUUGGCAUCUCAUCGAUUUCGAUCUUUCAUCUUUUUAUGCCAUGUGUCUGUCUAACUUCAUUAGAUUUGCAAUAUGGUGACUAAAGUCUAAUGUUAGCAUCUUUCUUUUUUUAUUCCUUUUCCUCUCCUAAUUUUAUAUAUUGUUUGCAGGAUGAUUUUUCAGCAAGUAUCAAAAGUUCGUGGAAAAAAUUGACGAAUUUGUGAGUCAUUUUUCCUAAUAAAUCUGGCUUUUCUUCCA
Molecule: long non-coding RNA, 5136 nt
Filed under: Fragaria vesca (wild strawberry)
Lineage: Eukaryota; Viridiplantae; Streptophyta; Magnoliopsida; Rosales; Rosaceae
Description: long non-coding RNA (FVES_LNC002732)
Source: RNAcentral